CGUGAGCGCCGUGCUGAUGAGCGAAUGGAAUCCGCGGCGCGACACGUUAAAUGACGUCCUUCGCACCGCUUGACAAUAGUUCUAGCGGCCCAAUCACGGGAGAGAACGCUGAGCGUUACAAC
This is a regulatory RNA element of Corynebacterium sp. ATCC 6931, 122 nucleotides long. It matches the Rfam family "atpB RNA". The record is from Rfam. Lineage: Bacteria; Bacillati; Actinomycetota; Actinomycetes; Mycobacteriales; Corynebacteriaceae.